CCUUAGUGUUUAGUCAUUGAGUAAUAAUUUAUUUAUUUAUGUGUUUACAUUUGUCUAAGCAUUUUGUUAUAUAAUAUUCAUAUUAUAGAUCAAUAGAUGAAUUAGUGUAUAAUCAACAUACGUAAAUAUUAAGUUUUUCGCGUGAUCUAUAUUAUGACUAAUAUUUUUACGUAUUUUUUGUUGAUUGAAGACGAUAUAAUAAUUGUAAAAAAAGUUCAAAAUGUACAACUGCAAAUUAUUCGUAAUUAUUGUAUUGGCGUUAAUUAAUGUAAUAGCAGUACAAGCCAGAAUAUUCUUUACAAAACGGACUUUACAUUCGCCUUUUGGAAAAAUGGCUUACGAAAAAACAGAUGCCGCAAAAAAAAUUGGUGUUAUCAUACAUUAUACAUCAUACAUUACAAAAAAAGUUAAUAGUUCGACGAUAAUAUUGCCAAGGAUUGUUGGUUAUUCACUGCUAAAACUCGUUAUAACGUAACGUAUAAUAUAUUUUUAUUAUAUUUAUAUAUACAAAAAAUGUCUUAAGACUCAAAUGAUAAAAAACGAGAUUGGAUAUUCGAAAAGUGUAUUGGAUGUAUUGGAUUAAAAAAUAUACCCAAUAUCAUUUGUUCAUAAAUAUAGAUUGAAAACGAUAUAAUAAUUGUAAAAAAAAAAUUCAAAAUGUACAACAGCAAAUUAUUUGUAAUUAUUGUAUUGGCGUUAAAUAAUGUAAUAACAGUACAACCCGGAAUAUUCUUUAUAAAACAGACUUUAAAGCUAAAUGGACUGUCAUUGAUUUUUAUCCAUCAGGAAUUCGAGACAUUAACCUGACUUUAAUAUGGAUACAAUUAUUAAUGAAAUGGCAUUAAGUCCUAGGCGAUUAGAUUUUGUUUUGUAAUCUCACAAUAAUAUGUUAUUUAAUUACAAUAAAUAGUUAAUAACCCAUGAGUUCUCAUGUGUUUUUUUUUUAUAACAAUUAACACUCAAAUAUAAAUGUCAAAUUGUUGUAAUCAUGAGUAACUGACUAGGUCUGUCAGCAAUAGAUUUUAGUUAUUUUGUUGUUAUUUAAAAAUAUCAUUCAUGGGUAUAUGAAUGUUUUAGAGUAUAUUAUAAUAUUUUAUAAUGCUCUUCCAUAUAAUAAUUUGCAAUGUUCUUUUUUAAAGAAAAUAGAAAACCACAGAAAAGAAAUGAAAAUUUUAAUCAAAGAAAUAACACUCAAACAGUUGCGUGCCGAACUGACAAACAGACCUGAGGCAAACUAUACAAUUUGAUCCCCCUCCCCACCACCAACAGUUUUUUCACUAUUUUUUUUUAUUAUUCAAAAUAAUGAAUAUUAUUAAUUUUUUUUAGGUAUAAGUUGCACAUCUACACUAACACACCCACCCACUCACCCAUAUUUCCCUUGAGGCAAUUGCCUCAAAAAAUGACUAUUCGGCACGCCAUUGCACUCAAAUAUAAAUGUUAUAUUGUUGUAAUCAUGAAUAACUAAUUAGCAUUCGCCUUUUGGGAAACAUAGCUUAUGACACAACAGGUGCUGCAAAAGAAAUUGGUCUUAUCAUACCGGAGGGCGGAGAUGAAAACGAGAUUGGAUACUCAAUAAGCGUAUUGGAUCUAUUCAAUCAUAUUGUAGCAGUCGAUAACGAAGAUACGCCUUUCAAAUUUUUUUAGAUUCUUUUUACGGAAUAUUAAAGAAUAUUAUG
Acyrthosiphon pisum (pea aphid) is the source of this 1676-nucleotide long non-coding RNA. RefSeq lists it as uncharacterized. The transcript has 5 exons. The record is from RefSeq and is a predicted model, not a curated record. NCBI's taxonomy places the organism in Eukaryota, Metazoa, Arthropoda, Insecta, Hemiptera, Aphididae.